RNAcentral lists this unclassified non-coding RNA (212 nucleotides) under Hevea brasiliensis (rubber tree). Lineage: Eukaryota; Viridiplantae; Streptophyta; Magnoliopsida; Malpighiales; Euphorbiaceae. The record is from RNAcentral.
GAAAGAACUUAUUUUAGAAACUCUUCCGAAUUAUUAAAGUAUUUCCACUGAUAAAAAGAUUAGGAUACUUUUUGUCUUUGGUUGGACAUAAAGGUCAGUAGCAUGUAAUAGUAGUUCAGGUUGUUGGGUGGGGCACAUGGAAUAUCUCUGGUGAUAGUUACUUGGAGUUAAAAGUUGAAAUUAUUUGCAUUUUAUGAGGUCACAUUAUCUUU